CAAUUAGAAAGUGUUUACCGGACGGCGGGGCUCCGGAGUGUAAACAGACAGCUAUUCCAGCAAUGCGCUAAUCCCGCGUCUUGUGACAACAAUUAGGGCUUUAGGCGAAGGCCCGCCGGCCCGGGUGGAAAACCCGCUGUCUGCAGCAAUAGAAGCGGAUCCGAGGAGAAGCUGUCGGACGGGAAAGCAGACAGAGCGCGAGUCGGAUCAAAAUUGCGAUUUGUAAUUGUUAUAAUAAACCAAGCGCAGUGAUAAAAGAAAA
Long non-coding RNA from Oxyura jamaicensis (ruddy duck), 262 nucleotides. RefSeq lists it as uncharacterized. The record is from RefSeq and is a predicted model, not a curated record. Lineage: Eukaryota; Metazoa; Chordata; Aves; Anseriformes; Anatidae. The transcript is spliced from 2 exons.